GAAGAAAGACCGUCUGGGAGCAAACUCGACUGUUAGGCGCAGAAUUUCCCAAUCGGGCGCCAUUUUGCACCAACGAAUUGCAAAAUGACGAGACCUCGUCUGGUGCCGAUCGUCGCUGGUUAUCUUCUUUUUGCAUUCUUCACCAUCUCUUCAGCUCAGGAUUCUCAUCUCGGAUCUGCUCGUGUUGUAUUCCAGACGAAUUAUGGCGAUAUCGAAUUUGGUUUCUUCCCCAAUGUAGCACCCAAAACCGUUGACCACAUUUUCAAGCUUGUUCGUCUUGGAGGCUAUAACACCAAUCACAUUUUUCGGGUUGAUAAAGGAUUUGUGGCGCAAGUGGCAGAUGUAAUGGGGGGAAGAUCAGCUCCCAUGAACGAGGAGCAAAGGGCGGAAGCUAAGAAGACUGUUGUUGGUGAAUUUAGUUCUGUCAAACACGUUAGAGGGAUUCUUUCUAUGGGGAGAUAUGAUGAUCCAGACAGUGCCCAAUCCUCCUUUUCUAUGCUACUUGGAGAUGCUCCUCACCUUGAUGGCAAAUAUGCAAUCUUUGGAAAAGUUACCAAAGGCGACGAUACAUUGAAAAAACUUGAAGAACUUCCUACUCGUCGUGAGGGUAUAUUUGUAAUGCCAACUGAGCGCAUAACAAUACUGUCAUCAUACUAUUACGAUGUCAAUUCUGAGCAUUGUGAAGAGGAGAGAUCAACUCUGAGGCGAAGGCUAGCUGCAUCUUUUAUCGAGAUUGAAAAACAGAGAAUGAAAUGCUUCCCCUAAAACGAGCAGGACAACGAAAACUCCGAUAGGAAAAACUGGAACACGAAUGCAAAUAGAAACGGAUUUCCCACCGUGUUUGGGCAUGUCUCUGUGAGUUUCAACCCUACAGGUUAAAUGGAUAUCUCGAGUUAAUCUUUUUUUGUCAAGUACUUGGACGAAGUGACCAAAAUACUAGUAAACGAAAACCUCGAGAUGAAAUUUUUGAAUUUGAAAAUUCAUGGAUUUAAUUGCUACCAAACCUAAAAUUCAGUAGCCAAAAGUGUAUUUUUUUUUCUUCCUAUUAUGGAUUAUAAAUAGACAUAUAUGUUCGAGUUGACCUAA
Cucurbita pepo subsp. pepo (vegetable marrow) is the source of this 1086-nucleotide RNA transcript. It is a transcript of the gene named Cyclophilin-like peptidyl-prolyl cis-trans isomerase family protein, with no coding region annotated. Lineage: Eukaryota; Viridiplantae; Streptophyta; Magnoliopsida; Cucurbitales; Cucurbitaceae. The record is from RefSeq and is a predicted model, not a curated record.